Molecule: long non-coding RNA, 536 nt
Filed under: Ananas comosus (pineapple)
Lineage: Eukaryota; Viridiplantae; Streptophyta; Magnoliopsida; Poales; Bromeliaceae
Description: long non-coding RNA (ACOM_LNC014456)
Source: RNAcentral
AAUUUUCCAGCAAAAAAAUUAUUUUCUGAAAUAUUUUUGUCGGAAUGAAACAUCCUGUAAAUUAUUGGUCAUUUCUCAAAAUAGACCCUUCAAACCCCUCAAAUAAGGUACAAUAAAUUAUCUCUCUAGUUAGUGUUGGCUUAAAUAAACCAGCAUUCUGCCCUGUGGCGGGAGACCAAGUGGGCCGAGUCACGUUCGAAAUGGCGUGAGAUCGGAUUGUGUCGAGUCAUAUUCAAAGUGGCGCAAGGCUGGGUUGGCCGGAUGACAAUCGAAACUCGUGAGCGUUGUAUUAAUAUUCUUUAAGUGCAUUGGUUGCGUAUUUCUAAAUGAUCGAGCUUUUGGAAUUAAUGGUUAGCGAUAACGAUACGACAAUUAGGUCUUUUUUGUUUAACACAUUGAGACAACAAAAUCUCACGACUAUCACAGCAAAAAUUUAUAGAGACAAAAAGAUUUGAGGUUGCUAAAUAUGUUGUUGCAAGAGAGAGAGGAAAAAUAAAAAAAAAAGAGAGAGAAAAAGGAAAAAAGAAAAAAGAAAA